Molecule: long non-coding RNA, 834 nt
Organism: Homarus americanus (American lobster)
Lineage: Eukaryota; Metazoa; Arthropoda; Malacostraca; Decapoda; Nephropidae
Exons: 4
Source: RefSeq, a predicted model, not a curated record
CUGGCGUGAGAGGCGGUAUGCCGCUGUAGCGCUCCGUGUUCUAGUGAAAGGGACGCCCGCAGUACUGUUUACCGACAACAAAUUCUCCGCAGUGUUUUGUCAAAUUUUAUCCCGAUAACACACAACUAAUCACAUCUUUAAAUAGAAAAUAAAGACGUGUUCUAAAGUUUACAAUUUGUUUAUUAGUUGAAAACACACGCAAAGUACAGUUCGAUAGUUGGUGACAUAUACAGUGCGAGUACGGCAAGAAAUAGUGAUUUAUAAACUGACAUUUCUGUGGAUUAUUAUUACAUUACGAGGACUGAGAAGACACUGUUACCUGACGACUGUGUUUAAUGGUGUGUUGUGUUGUCAGAGGCCGAGUAGAGCUGAUGACGGUGGUGGUGGUGAGGUAAACACAAGAGAAAACACGAAGGGAAGAAAUAUUUAGUGUGAGAGAGUUACAAAGAAUAAAUUGAUUAUAUCCACCACAACGUUUAAUAUAUCAGUGCGUGUAACUAUAGAGAACUUAUAUACUUUUGAUGAAACUUUGAAAAAAAAUUAAUUUACCUAGCACAUGAUCAGUGUUAGGACAUUUCAAUAUAAGUCUGGAUUACCUGUGUUAAAUCGGGGUUUAAAGUGACGUUUAACCUCGUAAGUGGAAUUAAAACUAGAAUGCUUCAAGGAUCAAGUCAUCGUCUCCUGUACACAAGUCAGGGAGCCAUCUGAAGCAUUUAAGUGGACCAGUUAUUAUGAAUACACUGGACUGUGGAGCUCAGGUAAUUUGUGCUUGACAUGUCUCGUAUUUUUACUCAAGAGGAUCUGUAAUUUUUUUGUAAGUAGUUGUAUUUUAUU